GAUGAACGCUGGCGGCGUGCCUAAUACAUGCCAGUCGAGCGAACAGACGAGGAACUUGCUCCUCUGACGUUAGCGGCGGACGGGUGAGUAACACGUGGAUAACCUACCUAUAAGACUGGGAUAACUUCGGGAAACCGGAGCUAAUACCGGAUAAUAUAUUGAACCGCAUGGUUCAAUAGUGAAAGACGGUUUUGCUGUCACUUAUAGAUGGAUCCGCGCCGCAUUAGCUAGUUGGUAAGGUAACGGCUUACCAAGGCGACGAUGCGUACCCGACCUGAGAGGGUGAUCGGCCACACUGGAACUGAGACACGGUCCAGACUCCUACGGGAGGAAGCAGUAGGGAAUCUUCCGCAAUGGGCGAAAGCCUGACGGAGCAACGCCGCGUGAGUGAUGAAGGUCUUCGGAUCGUAAAACUCUGUUAUUAGGGAAGAACAAAUGUGUAAGUAACUAUGCACGUCUUGACGGUACCUAAUCAGAAAGCCACGGCUAACUACGUG
This 497-nucleotide ribosomal RNA is filed under the name uncultured bacterium. RNAcentral's name for it is "partial 16S ribosomal RNA". It matches the Rfam family "Bacterial small subunit ribosomal RNA", at positions 28 to 507 of the family's 1533-position model. The record is from RNAcentral.